GGAUGUGAGGGUGAUCUGGCUGCGACAUCUGUCACCCCAUUGAUCGCCAGGGUUGAUUCGGCUGAUCUGGCUGGCUAGGUGGGUGUCCCCUUCCUCCCUCACCAUUCCAUGUGCGUCCCUCCCGAAGCUGCGCGCUCGGUCGAAGAGGACGACCAUCCUCGCUAGAGGAGGACCGGUCUUCGGUCAAGGGUAUACGAGUAGCUGCGCUCCCCUGCUAGAACCUCCAAACAAGCUCUCAAGGGAUCAGUGCCUUUAUAAGGAGAGACACUGGGCCGGGUGUGGUGGCUCACGCCUGUAAUCCCAGCAUUUUGGGAGGCUGAGG
This is an unclassified non-coding RNA of Rhinopithecus bieti (black snub-nosed monkey), 322 nucleotides long. Its record names the gene 7SK. It matches the Rfam family "7SK RNA". From Rfam's summary of the family: 7SK was discovered as an abundant small nuclear RNA in the mid-70s but a possible function has only recently been suggested. The record is from Ensembl. Lineage: Eukaryota; Metazoa; Chordata; Mammalia; Primates; Cercopithecidae.